Molecule: long non-coding RNA, 1729 nt
Organism: Nicotiana tabacum (common tobacco)
Lineage: Eukaryota; Viridiplantae; Streptophyta; Magnoliopsida; Solanales; Solanaceae
Source: RefSeq, a predicted model, not a curated record
CAUAUGCUUUUGAGGGCUGCUUUCAAAGGGAAUUAUUCCCUGACUUGGAGAGCAGAUAACAGCCCUCUUAGAGUAUAAAUAGGACCUCUUCUUCACUCAUUAGGAGAGAUUCAGAACCCUAAAACACUAUAAAAAGGUUCAACACUGUUUCAUUAGUAGCUAGUUCUAUUUCUUCUUAUUUUCUUUCAUAAAAAAACAUAGAAAAACUUUCUCUGGAUUUCUGGUUCUCUGAGAAAUGACUUGAUAUGAAGCUAGUUUGAUUAAUAUUGAUGUUCCCUACUGCUGAGUCCAUUGUUUUCCGCUACUCCUUGCUGAUUUCUGAACACAUUUUCUUUUUGAUUGUUGUAUCCAGGUAAUUUUUCUUUGAAUAAAUCCAAAGGCCAGGGCAUUCCCCCCUUUAAGCCUCUUUCUCACAUCACAACUUGAAGCAGCUGAGUAUGGCUCCAUAUUUGCCUUGAUAGCACAGUCUAAUGAUGAUGAAGACGACGAUGAUGAUGAUGAGGUAAACUUUCUAGAUGUUCAAAGAAAUCUAAAGUCUUUUUCUAUGAAAAAACUUAUGUCUUUGGCAAAUAUUUUAAUUGAUGCUUAUCACAUUCUCAUAAAUGAUAAAGAUGCAUUAAUUGUGGAACUAGGAGAAGAAGAACAGUCUAGAGAUGAUCUAGUAAUCGUUGUAGUUAAUUUAAAGGAAACAAUUGAGAGUCUGGAGAAAGAAAAAGAUGCCUUAGCUGGAAAAAAGUGCAAGCAUAGAACAUGAGAGAUAUGAUCUAGUAGUUGUUGUGAAGAGACCAUUGAAUGUGUUAAAAAGGAAAAAGAAGUUUUAAUUGAGAGAGUUUCUAACAUUGAGCACGAGAGAGAUGACCUAUUAGUAGUGGUGGUAGACCUAAAGAAAACAAUUGAGGAACUUAAAAUGGAGAAUAGGCCUGGGAAUAGUCAAAAGGGAAAGAAAGUUGCAAGUGAGGCACAUCUUAAGAUUGAAAAUGAGUUAAAAUUAGUAAAAUCUAGUUUGUGUGAUGAGCUUGAGAAAAACAAACAACUUCAGGAAGAACUAGGAAGAGUCAAUAGUGAUCUUGAAAAAUCACACAAGUGGACCUGGUCCUCUGAUGCUAUCACUGCCAUGUACACAAACAAUGGGGGAAAUAGGCAGGGAAUCGGGUUUCAAAGGGAAUAGACUCCCUACAACCCUCACAGCCAGUACGUCAUUGUACCUGACAAUUGGCUAUGCACUCACUGUGCUAACCCUAGGCACUUUAAGGAAACUUGUUAGGCCAAAUUCAAAUCUCAAUAGAAAAACAAAGUUUUUGCUAAAAAAGUAACUACUAUUAGGGAACCUAGUCCUUUACAUAAAAAAUGUAUAAUGCCUGCUUGGAUUAAAAGAGCCCUAAUUCACCCCUUUCCUCUUUACAAGGGACCCAAACUUGUUUGGGUUCCUAAAUCUAACCCAUGAUUUCCUUGUGCAGGGAACAAUGAAAGGGAGCAACCACCAAUGAUACAUGGAUAGCCGAUGCUCGAAGCACAUGACUGGAAGUACAAAUGAUUUCCUUUUACUGAAGGCCCUGGAGGGAGGGAGUGUAUACUUUGGAAAUGGCAAAAAGGGAUACAUUCUGAGAAUUGGAAGGAUCGGUGGACGCCUGACUGCUAAAGUCGAAUUGUAUCUUGAGAUGUUUUUCCUUGCUCUCCAGGUGGAUGCCUGACUACUGAACUUGAUAUGUAUUCCCAUGCUCUCUAGGCG